UACAGAGGGUGCGAGCGUUAAUCGGAAUUACUGGGCGUAAAGCGCGCGUAGGCGGCUUUGCAAGUCGGGUGUGAAAUCCCCAGGCUUAACCUGGGAACUGCAUUCGAGACUGCAUUGCUAGAGUAUAGGAGAGGGUAGUGGAAUUCCCGGUGUAGUGGUGGAAUGCGUAGAUAUCGGGAGGAACACCAGUGGCGAAGGCGACUACCUGGCCUGUUCUUGACGCUGAGGCGCGAAAGCUAGGGGAGCAAACGGG
Molecule: ribosomal RNA, 253 nt
Filed under: uncultured bacterium
Lineage: Bacteria
Description: partial 16S ribosomal RNA
Rfam family: Bacterial small subunit ribosomal RNA
Source: RNAcentral